AGUCAGCAGUAAAUACUUUUAUAUUUAAAGAGACUGAAAUGCUGUUGUAAACAAGGAAGUUAUUUUUACUUUCAAUAAUACCUUGUAAGAAGCAGCCAACAAAUGCACUGAACUGCACUGUCAUAAGAAAUCACUCUGAACAGAUGAAAGGAUAUUAUGACAAAUAUAUUGCUUUCCACAGUGGACAUUCAAACUAAUGUUUUAUGCUGAACAUGAGGUUGAGCUAAAGCAUGAUUGCUGUAUCAGAUGCAGAUAAGCUGAAUCACAGCCCUUGAAGUUUGAAGCAGUUUUAAGUUUGAAGUGGAUUUAAAAUUUCAACGUUUAAAGCAAUUUUAAGUUGAAAGUAAUUUUAAAAGCUAAAAGUUCGAAGCUUUUAAGUCUCUCAGAAAGAUACAAACCCCAAUUUGACAUAAUGUAAUAUUAUUAAUAACAAAUAGAACAAAAUUAAGCAGUCUAAAGUUUGAAGUAGCUUUUAAAGUUCAAUCUAAAAGCUAAAAAAAAAAGAUAUUGAGCUUUUCCAUUCCACUGCUCACUUGCAUUUUAAGUUCAAAACACGUUUAAUCUGAAUGGUCCCUAAGUCUGAUUUAGGUUUUAUUUUUAUUUUUUUGGUAACACUUGUCCAAUUCUCGCCAUUAACAAACUUUUCUGACACUUAUAUCUCUGUAUAAUGUUUAUUUUAAUAGUUGAAAUAAUUUAUGUAUGUAUGCACGAAUGUGUUUGAGCUCACCAAGAAAUUCCUGACAACUGUGUUGUUUGGCAAUAAAUAAAUAAAAAUUAUGUUUAUUAAUAGUUAGUAAGGUAGUUGUUAAGUUUGAUAAUUAGGUAUGCAGAAUGUGUGCUUUAUAAGUACUAAUAAACAGCCAAAUUGUUAAUAAUAGGCAUGCUAAUAAGCAACUAGUUAAUAGUGAGAAUUGGUCCUUACGCUAAAGUGUUACCAGGAUAAGUUCAGGAAGUAACAUCUAGCGCUUGACCUUAGUUAACCUUUACUUACCAACACCCAGGGAAAAACUUUGUAUGUCUGUGGGGGCAUCCAUGUUUGUUCUGAAAACUGACUUGAAUGGCAGGGGGUUCAUGUAUAUGUGUUUGUAUUUUUUGCAAAAGCACGCUGUGCUCUCCACUGUUCUGGAAUUGCUUCCAUUUGAAAACGUUUCAUUAGCUGUGCAUAUCGGGGGGACUUUAAUUUGACUUCCUGUUUCAGUCCUUCUUUAAUCCUGGGCCUUUCUAAUAAUUGCCUGAUGGCGAAUAACUUCCCCUGAAACUCAGGACUAAUCAGGCAUGUCACUGCGCAGUUAAAUUUGCUUUCAAUCCAUUCGUAAUAGGCAGGAUAUUAGCAAUGUCAGACAAUCAAGGCUUCACGCGAGCCAGGUCGGAAUUAAUGGUUCUGCUUUAUUUGCUGCUUAC
Long non-coding RNA from Carassius carassius (crucian carp), 1401 nucleotides. RefSeq lists it as uncharacterized. The transcript has 3 exons. The record is from RefSeq and is a predicted model, not a curated record. Lineage: Eukaryota; Metazoa; Chordata; Actinopteri; Cypriniformes; Cyprinidae.